UCCUUGUCUCGCCGCACAACACACACAAAAAUAAAUGGAUCCGUGCGAUUGAAAGAGGGUGACCGGUGGUUGUUUACACAAUAACGAAGAGACUCGGGAUUAGGUGGAAUUGAGGAUUGUCAAAUUCUUAGAACGGAGCAAAGAAUAAUUCGAGAUUGUUAUUGUCUUCUAGGCGAAGGUUAAAUAAAGUCUUUAAUGUUUAGAUGAUGAAUUGAGAGUUUGUAAUAAUGAGAUUCUUUCUUUAGGUUGAGAUUUAUUUGGAGUUGAGGAAUAUUUAUUUUUAUCAAGUUAAUUGGCUUAGUUGACUUUUGGGAUUAUAGAGAAUAUUUGUUGUUGGUUUUAGUUCAAUGAAGAGAUUUGUUUUAGUGUUCUUUUAA
Long non-coding RNA from Asparagus officinalis (garden asparagus), 377 nucleotides. RefSeq lists it as uncharacterized. The record is from RefSeq and is a predicted model, not a curated record. Lineage: Eukaryota; Viridiplantae; Streptophyta; Magnoliopsida; Asparagales; Asparagaceae. The transcript is spliced from 2 exons.